GCAUGAAGAGAAAAUUUGAGACGUAUUGAGGGGAUGUAGAGAAAUUCAAUCCCUUACUUUAUGUGGCGGUGGCACUUGAUCCCCAGUAUAAGUUAAGGUUGGUGAAAUUUUGCUAUACAAGAUCCAAAGGGAAGGCGGUGGGUGAGAAAAUGGAGAAACAAGUGAAGGAUGUUUUGAACAAGUUGUAUGAUUUUUAUGAAAAACAGGGUGAAGUUAGACAAAAUGUGUCUAGUUCAAGUUCAAUGCCGAGAGUAAUGGAGGAGAAUGAGGAUUGUGAUCGUCGCUUGAAUUUAGCUAGCGAAUUUGACACUUACUUGGAGGAGGAGUAUUCUAGUGUUUGUUCCUCGGAAGUAGACAAGUACUUGGGGGAUUUGUGCGAACAUAGGGACAAUCCAGAUUUUGAUAUCUUGGUAUGGUGGAAGAACAAUUCCAACAAAUAUCCAAUCUUGUCAAAAAUGGCGCGUGAUGUAUUAGCUAUGCCCAUGUCUACCGUUGCUUCCGAAUCGGCCUUUAGUACGGGUGGUCGCGUACUUGAUCAAUUUUGAAGUUCACUCUCACCGUCAAUGGUCGAGACUCUUGUAUGCACCCAAAAUUGGCUUUUAAGCACGGUUCCAAUCUCUCUUCGACAGUCUAUGGAUAAAGUUGAAGAUCUUGAACGAGAACUCUUACAAACUGAAUCAAUUGAUGAUGCAACGCAAGUUCCUAGGGAUUGAGUGAUGGGCCUUUGGACAUUGGACCUUGGUUUGGUCAGUUUACAUGGGAUUGGGGAGCACUUUGGACAUUCAACUACUGGACUAGUUUAUUUAAUUAUGGACUUGUGUGUUUGGUUGCUUUUAAUUAUUAUGGACUUGUA
Molecule: long non-coding RNA, 853 nt
Organism: Rhododendron vialii
Lineage: Eukaryota; Viridiplantae; Streptophyta; Magnoliopsida; Ericales; Ericaceae
Exons: 3
Source: RefSeq, a predicted model, not a curated record